ACUUAAAUUGAAGAGUUUGAUCAUGGCUCAGAUUGAACGCUGGCGGCAGGCCUAACACAUGCAAGUCGAGCGGUAGCACAGAGAGCUUGCUCUCGGGUGACGAGCGGCGGACGGGUGAGUAAUGUCUGGGAAACUGCCUGAUGGAGGGGGAUAACUACUGGAAACGGUAGCUAAUACCGCAUAACGUCGCAAGACCAAAGUGGGGGACCUUCGGGCCUCAUGCCAUCAGAUGUGCCCAGAUGGGAUUAGCUAGUAGGUGGGGUAAUGGCUCACCUAGGCGACGAUCCCUAGCUGGUCUGAGAGGAUGACCAGCCACACUGGAACUGAGACACGGUCCAGACUCCUACGGGAGGCAGCAGUGGGGAAUAUUGCACAAUGGGCGCAAGCCUGAUGCAGCCAUGCCGCGUGUGUGAAGAAGGCCUUCGGGUUGUAAAGCACUUUCAGCGGGGAGGAAGGCGUUAAGGUUAAUAACCUUGGCGAUUGACGUUACCCGCAGAAGAAGCACCGGCUAACUCCGUGCCAGCAGCCGCGGUAAUACGGAGGGUGCAAGCGUUAAUCGGAAUUACUGGGCGUAAAGCGCACGCAGGCGGUCUGUCAAGUCGGAUGUGAAAUCCCCGGGCUCAACCUGGGAACUGCAUUCGAAACUGGCAGGCUAGAGUCUUGUAGAGGGGGGUAGAAUUCCAGGUGUAGCGGUGAAAUGCGUAGAGAUCUGGAGGAAUACCGGUGGCGAAGGCGGCCCCCUGGACAAAGACUGACGCUCAGGUGCGAAAGCGUGGGGAGCAAACAGGAUUAGAUACCCUGGUAGUCCACGCCGUAAACGAUGUCGAUUUGGAGGUUGUGCCCUUGAGGCGUGGCUUCCGGAGCUAACGCGUUAAAUCGACCGCCUGGGGAGUACGGCCGCAAGGUUAAAACUCAAAUGAAUUGACGGGGGCCCGCACAAGCGGUGGAGCAUGUGGUUUAAUUCGAUGCAACGCGAAGAACCUUACCUGGUCUUGACAUCCACAGAACUUUCCAGAGAUGGAUUGGUGCCUUCGGGAACUGUGAGACAGGUGCUGCAUGGCUGUCGUCAGCUCGUGUUGUGAAAUGUUGGGUUAAGUCCCGCAACGAGCGCAACCCUUAUCCUUUGUUGCCAGCGGUUCGGCCGGGAACUCAAAGGAGACUGCCAGUGAUAAACUGGAGGAAGGUGGGGAUGACGUCAAGUCAUCAUGGCCCUUACGACCAGGGCUACACACGUGCUACAAUGGCAUAUACAAAGAGAAGCGACCUCGCGAGAGCAAGCGGACCUCAUAAAGUAUGUCGUAGUCCGGAUUGGAGUCUGCAACUCGACUCCAUGAAGUCGGAAUCGCUAGUAAUCGUAGAUCAGAAUGCUACGGUGAAUACGUUCCCGGGCCUUGUACACACCGCCCGUCACACCAUGGGAGUGGGUUGCAAAAGAAGUAGGUAGCUUAACCUUCGGGAGGGCGCUUACCACUUUGUGAUUCAUGACUGGGGUGAAGUCGUAACAAGGUAACCGUAGGGGAACCUGCGGUUGGAUCACCUCCUUACCUUAAAGAA
This 1554-nucleotide ribosomal RNA is filed under the name Klebsiella pneumoniae. RNAcentral describes it as "bacterial SSU rRNA". It matches the Rfam family "Bacterial small subunit ribosomal RNA". The record is from RNAcentral. Lineage: Bacteria; Pseudomonadati; Pseudomonadota; Gammaproteobacteria; Enterobacterales; Enterobacteriaceae.